RNAcentral lists this transfer RNA (74 nucleotides) under Pseudomonadota bacterium. Its description in RNAcentral is "tRNA-Pro". It matches the Rfam family "tRNA". Rfam says of the family: Transfer RNA (tRNA) molecules are approximately 80 nucleotides in length. Their secondary structure includes four short double-helical elements and three loops (D, anti-codon, and T loops). Lineage: Bacteria; Pseudomonadati; Pseudomonadota. RNAcentral also lists the same sequence under 1 other name. The record is from RNAcentral.
CGGAGCGUAGCUCAGAUGGUUAGAGCGCAUGCCUUGGGAGCAUGAGGUCCCCGGUUCAAGUCCGGGCGCUCCGA